ACGUGAUAUUUAAUUAAACCAACUUGGGGUGUUCAAAUUUGUAAGAUGGCUGAGAUUCAAGCAGUUAAAUCAGUUUGCGUUUCAUGCAAGAAGGAAUGUGGAAGCCAUUUUUGCAAAGUUUGCAAAAAAACGUGCCACGCAAUUCCGCCUUGCUCAACAUCAGCAGGUGAUGAUGAAGGUUUUGGUGCCCAGGUCUUGUGUAGUGGCUGUGCAAAAACUGAGACAGCAGC
Xenia sp. Carnegie-2017 is the source of this 230-nucleotide long non-coding RNA. RefSeq lists it as uncharacterized. The record is from RefSeq and is a predicted model, not a curated record. Lineage: Eukaryota; Metazoa; Cnidaria; Anthozoa; Malacalcyonacea; Xeniidae. The transcript has 3 exons.